UGUUCUUAUCAGUUUAAUAUCUGAUACGUCCUCGAUGAGAGGACUUUAUAUUAAACGGAUUUUUGGGCUUGGGAGUUGGACCCGGAGCUUGCUCCCUCCGCUCCGCGCAUCGUCCCGGUAUUGCAGUGCCUCCGGGCACGGUGCACCCCCC
This 151-nucleotide small nuclear RNA is filed under the name Egretta garzetta (little egret). RNAcentral's name for it is "U2 spliceosomal RNA". It matches the Rfam family "U2 spliceosomal RNA", at positions 41 to 192 of the family's 192-position model. From Rfam's summary of the family: U2 is a small nuclear RNA (snRNA) component of the spliceosome (involved in pre-mRNA splicing). Complementary binding between U2 snRNA (in an area lying towards the 5' end but 3' to hairpin I) and the branchpoint sequence (BPS) of the intron results the bulging out of an unpaired adenosine, on the BPS, which initiates a nucleophilic attack at the intronic 5' splice site, thus starting the first of two transesterification reactions that mediate splicing. Lineage: Eukaryota; Metazoa; Chordata; Aves; Pelecaniformes; Ardeidae. The record is from Rfam by way of RNAcentral.